Molecule: ribosomal RNA, 550 nt
Filed under: uncultured bacterium
Lineage: Bacteria
Description: partial 16S ribosomal RNA
Rfam family: Bacterial small subunit ribosomal RNA
Source: RNAcentral
UGGGGAAUUUUGGACAAUGGGCGAAAGCCUGAUCCAGCAAUGCCGCGUGUGUGAAGAAGGCCUUCGGGUUGUAAAGCACUUUUGUCCGGAAAGAAAUCCUUGGCUCUAAUACAGUCGGGGGAUGACGUACCGGAAGAAUAAGACCGGCUAACUACGUGCCAGCAGCCGCGGUAAUACGUAGGGUGCAAGCGUUAAUCGGAAUUACUGGGCGUAAAGCGUGCGCAGGCGGUUUGCUAAGACCGAUGUGAAAUCCCCCGGGCUCAACCUGGGAACUGCAUUGGUGACUGGCAGGCUAGAGUAUGGCAGAGGGGGGUAGAAUUCCACGUGUAGCAGUGAAAUGCGUAGAGAUGUGGAGGAAUACCGAUGGCGAAGGCAGCCCCCUGGGCCAAUANUGACGCUCAUGCACGAAAGCGUGGGGAGCAAACAGGAUUAGAUACCCUGAUAGUCCACGCCCUAAACGAUGUCAACUAGUUGUUGGGGAUUCAUUUCCUUAGUAACGUAGCUAACGCGUGAAGUUGACCGCCUGGGGAGUACGGUCGCAAGAUUAAAA